GCAAUUUGUGCAUGUAAUCUUCAGCAUCCAGCACUUAAUCUUCCACCCAGAAGCCGAAAUUUUCGUGUGUGGAGAUGAAUUUCAGCAGCCUCAGCCUUAUUAAUUCAACCGUCUUAUUUGCUUCGGUUUCCGUGCGUAUAUAAAUAAAAUCUAGCAGCCGCUAAUUAACUCCAAAAAAAAGGGACUCCCUUGUUUGCUGCGAGUGUAUAUAAUAAUCUUCUUGGCUUCCCUCAAAUUCUAUUCUCUUUUCUCUCCGUUUUCUGUGAUGAAUCAAUUGGAGCCGUAAUAAUUUACUCCCUGAAGCUGCAGUCCAAUUUUCUCCCAGCAGGAUGUCCCUCUCAAUUGAUUCUCCACGUUUUGCCGCAGAAAUUGAUUUUCCCCAGAAAACUCUUCCCCUCCA
This 400-nucleotide long non-coding RNA is filed under the name Olea europaea (common olive). RNAcentral's name for it is "long non-coding RNA (OEUR_LNC012977)". The record is from RNAcentral. Lineage: Eukaryota; Viridiplantae; Streptophyta; Magnoliopsida; Lamiales; Oleaceae.